GACGAACGCUGGCGGCGUGCUUAACACAUGCCAGUCGAACGAAGAGCGAUGGAAGCUUGCUUCUAUCAAUCUUAGUGGCGAACGGGUGAGUAACGCGUAAUCAACCUGCCCUUCAGAGGGGGACAACAGUUGGAAACGACUGCUAAUACCGCAUACGAUCUAAUCUCGGCAUCGAGGAUAGAUGAAAGGUGGCCUCUACAUGUAAGCUAUCACUGAAGGAGGGGAUUGCGUCUGAUUAGCUAGUUGGAGGGGUAACGGCCCACCAAGGCGAUGAUCAGUAGCCGGUCUGAGAGGAUGAACGGCCACAUUGGGACUGAGACACGGCCCAGACUCCUACGGGAGGCAGCAGUGGGGAAUCUUCCGCAAUGGACAAAAGUCUGACGGAGCAACGCCGCGUGAGUGAUGACGGCCUUCGGGUUGUAAAGCUCUGUUAAUCGGGACGAAAGGCCUUCUUGCGAAUAGUGAGAAGGAUUGACGGUACCGGAAUAGAAAGCCACGGCUAACUACGUG
Molecule: ribosomal RNA, 510 nt
Filed under: uncultured bacterium
Lineage: Bacteria
Description: partial 16S ribosomal RNA
Rfam family: Bacterial small subunit ribosomal RNA
Source: RNAcentral